GGGCAGGUACCAAAGUGGUUAAAUGGGACGGGCUGUAAACCCGUUGCGGAAACGCUUCGAAGGUUCGAAUCCUUCCCUGCCCA
This 83-nucleotide transfer RNA is filed under the name Candidatus Aminicenantes bacterium ADurb.Bin147. RNAcentral's name for it is "tRNA-Tyr". It matches the Rfam family "tRNA". Rfam says of the family: Transfer RNA (tRNA) molecules are approximately 80 nucleotides in length. RNAcentral also lists the same sequence under 2 other names. Lineage: Bacteria; Candidatus Aminicenantota. The record is from RNAcentral.